GGGAAACAGAGCUCCACAGUGUGACUUCCUCAAGCAACACAAGACAUCUCAGGAAGAGAAACACAGCCUUGUCUGGAUGCUGCCAUUUCAGUCCACAUGCACAUGAGCUGUGAAGGAUGAGGAUCACAAGGAUGGCCAAUACACAUCUCCUAGGUGCUCCAACAACAUCACUGCAAACGUUUCCAGAAGAAAGGAAAGGACCUAGAAGAGGCUGACCUUUGAGCUUACAGCUCUUUGCCCAUUGUUCUGCCUUUUCAUCCCAUUGUGAUGUGAACAGAAGUCCCUGCAGAGCUCUGUGGCAAGAGAAAACAUG
Molecule: long non-coding RNA, 313 nt
Organism: Gallus gallus (chicken)
Lineage: Eukaryota; Metazoa; Chordata; Aves; Galliformes; Phasianidae
Source: Ensembl